GGCCAGACUCCUACGGGAGGCAGCAGUGAGGAAUAUUGGUCAAUGGGCGAGAGCCUGAACCAGCCAAGUCGCGUGAGGGAAGACGGUCCUAUGGAUUGUAAACCUCUUUUGCCGGGGAGCAAAAAGCGGUACGUGUACCGCAUCGAGAGUACCCGGAGAAAAAGCAUCGGCUAACUCCGUGCCAGCAGCCGCGGUAAUACGGAGGAUGCGAGCGUUAUCCGGAUUUAUUGGGUUUAAAGGGUGCGCAGGCGGCGAGUUAAGUCGGGGAUAAAUUUGGGGGCCUCCCCCCCGACAAGCCGUUGAAACUGGCUGUCUUGAGAUGUCGAGAGGUAUGCGGAAUGCGCAGUGUAGCGGUGAAAUGCUUAGAUAUUGCGCAGAACUCCGAUUGCGAAGGCAGCAUACCGGCGGCGAUCUGACGCUGAGGCACGAAAGCGUGGGUAUCGAACAGGAUUAGAUACCCCUGUA
Molecule: ribosomal RNA, 465 nt
Filed under: uncultured bacterium
Lineage: Bacteria
Description: bacterial SSU rRNA
Rfam family: Bacterial small subunit ribosomal RNA
Source: RNAcentral